This 85-nucleotide non-coding RNA is filed under the name uncultured Eubacterium sp. The record is from RNAcentral. Lineage: Bacteria; Bacillati; Bacillota; Clostridia; Eubacteriales; Eubacteriaceae.
CAUACAGGGGAGCUGAUUGCUGAGAGGUACGCCGCAGGGCGUACGACCCUUAGACCUGAUUUGGGUAAUGCCAACGUAGGGACGG